This 442-nucleotide ribosomal RNA is filed under the name uncultured bacterium. RNAcentral's name for it is "partial 16S ribosomal RNA". It matches the Rfam family "Bacterial small subunit ribosomal RNA", at positions 338 to 795 of the family's 1533-position model. The record is from RNAcentral.
CCUACGGGCGGCAGCAGUGGGGAAUAUUGGGCAAUGGACGCAAGUCUGGCCCAGCAACGCCGCGUGAAGGACGAAGGCUUUCGGGUUGUACACUUCUUUUAAGGGGGAAGAGCAGAAGACGGUACCCCUUGAAUAAGCCAUAGCUAACUACGUGCCAGCAGCAGCGGUAAUAAGUAGGUGGCAAGCGUUGUACGAAUGUACGGGGUUGAAAGGGCGUGCAGCCGGAAAGACAAGUCAGAUGUGAAAUCCUGCGGCUCAAACGCGGAAAUGCAUUUGAAACUGUUUUUCCUGAGUAUCGGAGAGGUAAUCGGAAUUCCUAGUGUAGCGGUGCAAUGCGGAGAUAGUAGGAAGAACACCAGUGGCGAAGGCGGAUUACUGGACGACAACGGACGGUGAGGCGCGAAAGCGUGGGGAGCAAACAGGAUUAGAUACCCGGGUAGUC